RNAcentral lists this long non-coding RNA (1005 nucleotides) under Cyanistes caeruleus (blue tit). RNAcentral's name for it is "lncRNA (ENSCCEG00000018189.1)". Lineage: Eukaryota; Metazoa; Chordata; Aves; Passeriformes; Paridae. The record is from RNAcentral.
UUCGAGCCGGGCCCCGCCCACCGCGGCCCUCAGGGGCGGUACCCGCGAGCCCCGCCCGCCGCAUCCCCCCGGCCCUCAGACCGGCUCGUCCCGUCCCCCUUCUCUCACCGCCUUCCCCCAUCCCUCACACCGGCAUCCCCGUCUCUCAGACUGCGGGCUCGUCUCCCGUCUGCCGAAUUAGCCUUGGGAGCAAUCUUUGUAACCACAGAACCCCACAGACAGCCUGGCGGGAGGAACCCCUCCGCCCCAGCGCCUCCCGCCGCUGUCACUGCUCAUCCGCACUUGGGCCCUCGAGGAAGUCACUGUAGAAAAGGGCGAGCACUGACAAAAAAUGAGAGGAAUUGGGAAAACAUUCCUGGGAAUGGGAAGUGUGUGGGAUGGUGGUGGUAACUCCGCUGGCGACUGCAGGAUCCCCAGGGAUGUGAACGCUGCAGGAAACAUCCAGCGUUACUCAGGAGCUGAUGUUUUGCCCCAUGGCAGCAGUGUUGAGUUCUUCAGUGGCAUGGGACAGUUCCUCACCUCAGGGCACAGGCUGGAGUUCACCCAAGCCAGGAGGCUGAAGGUGCAAGUUCAUCAUUACCUAAAACCAGGAGCUGGGAAACUUCUCAAAAUUCCAGCGUGGCACAUCCCCACUGGCCCUGCUGUUGCAGAGUUUGACAUUGCUGCCACCAGGAUUGACAACCUUGCUAAAUGGGUAAUUCCAUGGAUAAGAAAAGCUGUCAGUCCAAUUGCUACCCACAAACACCAUGGGAGGUGUUGGAUGUUGGGACAUCAUCACAGAACUAACCUCACCCUACUCUCAGUUUGUUGUGUCCGGUUCUUAAAGAUCCACAGAUACAAAAUUUGACAUCUUUGAAGGUUCCCAUUUUGCAAAGUUGAUGCAAUUUCAUAUAUUCUCUCUUUUUUUAAAUGACUGUUUAAGGCAUCUUUCUUUAAACAAUACCGGUUGUUUAUGAUCAAAGCUACUAUAAUAAAUCAGUAUGUGUAGAAAGGAGAGAAAUCUUU